Molecule: ribosomal RNA, 402 nt
Filed under: bacterium
Lineage: Bacteria
Description: partial 16S ribosomal RNA
Rfam family: Bacterial small subunit ribosomal RNA
Source: RNAcentral
UGGGGAAUUUUGCACAAUGGGGGAAACCCUGAUGCAGCGACGCCGCGUGAUUUAGAAGGCCUUCGGGUUGUAAAAAUCUUUUCUAUGGGAAGAAAAUGACAGUACCAUAGGAAUAAGGACCGGCUAAUUACGUGCCAGCAGCCGCGGUAAUACGUAAGGUCCGAGCGUUGUCCGGAAUCAUUGGGCGUAAAGGGUACGUAGGCGGGUAAGCAAGUUAGAAGUGAAAUCCUAUAGCUCAAAUAUAGUAAGCUUUUAAAACUGCUCAUCUUGAGGUAUGGAAGGGAAAGUGGAAUUCCUAGUGUAGCGGAGAAAUGCGCAGAUAUUAGGAGGAAUACCGGUGGCGAAGGCGACUUUCUGGCCAUAACCUGACGCUGAGGUACGAAAGCGUGGGUAGCAAACAGG